Molecule: ribosomal RNA, 253 nt
Filed under: uncultured bacterium
Lineage: Bacteria
Description: partial 16S ribosomal RNA
Rfam family: Bacterial small subunit ribosomal RNA
Source: RNAcentral
UACGGGGGGGGCAAGCGUUGUUCGGAAUUACUGGGCGUAAAGGGCUCGUAGGCGGCCAACUAAGUCGGAUGUGAAAUCCCACGGCUCAACCGUGGAAGUGCACUCGAAACUGCAGGGCUAGAGUCCUGGAGAGGAAGGUGGAAUGCUUGGUGUAGAGGUGAAAUUCGUAGAUAUCAAGCGGAACACCGGUGGCGAAGGCGGCCUUCUGGACAGUGACUGACGCUGAGACGCGAAAGCGUGGGGAGCAAACAGG